This 253-nucleotide ribosomal RNA is filed under the name uncultured bacterium. RNAcentral's name for it is "partial 16S ribosomal RNA". It matches the Rfam family "Bacterial small subunit ribosomal RNA", at positions 524 to 776 of the family's 1533-position model. The record is from RNAcentral.
UACGUAGGGUGCAAGCGUUGUCCGGAAUUAUUGGGCGUAAAGAGCGUGUAGGCGGCCCGAUUAGUCCGCUGUGAAAGUCCAGGGCUCAACCCUGGAAUGCCGGUGGAUACUGUCGGGCUAGAGUCCGGAAGGGGCGAGUGGAAUUCCUGGUGUAGCGGUGAAAUGCGCAGAUAUCAGGAGGAACACCGGUGGCGAAGGCGGCAUCCUGGACCGACAUUGACGCUGAUCCGCGAAAGCCAGGGGAGCAAACGGG